This 460-nucleotide ribosomal RNA is filed under the name uncultured bacterium. Its description in RNAcentral is "partial 16S ribosomal RNA". It matches the Rfam family "Bacterial small subunit ribosomal RNA", at positions 338 to 795 of the family's 1533-position model. The record is from RNAcentral.
CCUACGGGCGGCAGCAGUGAGGAAUAUUGGUCAAUGGGCGCGAGCCUGAACCAGCCAAGUAGCGUGAAGGAUGACUGCCCUACGGGUUGUAAACUUCUUUUAUAAAGGAAUAAAGUGUUGCACGUGUGCCUUUUUGUAUGUACCAUAUGAAUAAGGAUCGGCUAACUCCGUGCCAGCAGCCGCGGUAAUACGGAGGAUCCGAGCGUUAUCCGGAUUUAUUGGGUUUAAAGGGAGCGUAGGUGGAUUGUUAAGUCAGUUGUGAAAGUUUGCGGCUCAACCGUAAAAUUGCAGUUGAAACUGGCAGUAUUGAGUACAGUAGAGGUGGGCGGAAUUCGUGGUGUAGCGGUGCAAUGCUUAGAUAGCACGAAGAACUCCGAUUGCGAAGGCAGCUCACUGGACUGCAACUGACACUGAGGCUCGAAAGUGUGGGUAUCAAACAGGAUUAGAGACCCGUGUAGUC